Molecule: long non-coding RNA, 621 nt
Organism: Homarus americanus (American lobster)
Lineage: Eukaryota; Metazoa; Arthropoda; Malacostraca; Decapoda; Nephropidae
Exons: 2
Source: RefSeq, a predicted model, not a curated record
UUGUGCACGCACUUAGAAGCUAGCAAAAUUUAGAAUGCUAAUUCAGGUUCAUAUAACAUAAGGUAAAUAAUAAAAUUAUAAAAUAUUUCCUGACAGAAUCAUGCACUUCUCGGCUACUGGAACAUACAUGCGGACCCAUAGGGAGCAUGCUCUUGACAACCCGUGUUCUAACCCUCCCAGCAAGAUUACCAUUACCUCUGUCCUCUCUCUCAGUAAUCUCUGGGGCAUGUUCGUGGUACUGGCAGGAGGUCACCUUUUGGCAGCGUUGGUCCUAUUCCUCGAGCUUCUACAUAGUUGAGCUCAGGAGCUUACCCUUACGUCGUCCUAGUUAAGACAAGAUGCCUCAUCCUAGAACUAUGUUGCUGAUGACUACAAUGAACGCAUAUUAGGAAGAAAGUAGCAUGUCAUAAUCUCGUUUCAUAUUCUUUCAAAUUCCAAAUAUCUGAUGCCUGAAGUAUGGACUUUUUACUGUGAAUGCAAUACAGUAUAUAAUGAAUUAAUUUUAUGUUAUUAUGACUGUAAAGGAUGUACAUUUUGGAGAUGAUAGCUAAUGAAGAUCAUUAUUAUUACUUGAUCUCAGAUAUGUUCUUCAGUAAAUGGUUAAUAAAGAGUUGCACAAUU